CUCCCCCGACUCUUCGUUGACGCUCUCAGCCAUUGCUUGGCUCUCUGCAGCCACGCCACUAUUGCCUGCUCACUUGCACUCAGGCAUAACAUAUAACAGCAGGGCGAGAGAGCUGUCAUGCAGCUUUGUGGCCAUUGACUUCGUGUCUCUUUAUUUUGUUUGCAAUUAAAGUUCAUAAAAAGUCAAUUAAACACACGUGGAUUGCAGUUAAUAUAUGGAGAGAGACUGUGCAAGUGUUUGAUGGUGGAAAAAGAUGAAUGCCUGCACCAAUAUGGCUGCUAAUAGGGUCCAGAGCAGAGUCUCGCAUCCGUCCCCCCCUCCAGGCACCGCUUCUUCGUAUCUUAAUUGGCACCCAUGGGGGGGGAGGAGGAGACGGAGGAUCGUGCAAAGCAGCAGCGACGACCCCUAUGAACAUUAAAAAGAAAGAGACCCAGAGUCCCGGCCUGGGACUGGGACUGGGUUUUGGGUCUCGGCAGCAUAAUGCCCAAUCAUCUUGACUUCUGCUUACAGCUGCUUGCUGCUGCUGGCCGUCCCAUUGUCCUCGUCUUUGGAUCAUAAAAGUUUAUGACAUCCGACGAAAACUAACGAAACGUUCGAAAAUUCAAACUUUUUGCUGUUAACGAAGAAGCCCCCGGUUGCGUCUCCUCGCUGGGAUAUGCUGCCUGCCGAUCAAUUCCCAGUUGGCGUUGUAUGUCUCUAUUAGCGCUGGACAAUGGAGGACGAUGUGCAGCAUCCAGCGGAGUGGAUGUGGCUGCUGCAAAAGAUUAUAAAUUGAAUGCCAUAUAAGUCAGGCAUCUCCAUAUAUAGAUAUCUACACAUAUGUUCGAUCCAAUCAAGCUGAAACUAUCCAUACCCCCUCUCUGGUUACGCCUCUGUUCCCUCUUUUGUGCACACAUCUUUGACUUUUAUAUAUUUAUUGCUGUGAAAAAAUGUUAAUUCUUGAACGUUA
Molecule: long non-coding RNA, 949 nt
Organism: Drosophila pseudoobscura
Lineage: Eukaryota; Metazoa; Arthropoda; Insecta; Diptera; Drosophilidae
Exons: 2
Source: RefSeq, a predicted model, not a curated record